CAUCCGGUGGCACUGACUCAUAUCUUCUCCUCUAGGAAGCUGAGGUGCAAAAUAAACACCAGAAGGCACUAUUUAUGUUUUAUUGUCUUCUGCAGGUACGUGUCUUUUUUGUUUUUUUUUGUUUUAAUGACUGUUGUCAUUCGGUUAUUUAUUUUGUUUACUUGGGGUUGUGGGUUUUCCCCCUUUUGUCAUAAUUAUUUUGCUAGACAGAUCGGUUACGCUGUUGAAGGAAGCUGAGGUGCAAAAUAAACACCAGAAGGCACUAUUUAUGUUUUAUUGUCUUCUGCAGGGUUGACUUCAUGCAUGCACAGAACACAUCCGUUACAUUGGUGCCGUGACCCGGAUCAUCAGAUCAGCUUGAUGCUCGUCGCCGUGGAUGCUGUGCUGAUGUCCUGAUCUGCCUUUGCACUCUUCUGUGGUCAUAUCAAGAAGCUGAGGUGCAAAAUAAACACCAGAAGGCACUA
This is a long non-coding RNA of Pungitius pungitius (ninespine stickleback), 464 nucleotides long. RefSeq lists it as uncharacterized. Lineage: Eukaryota; Metazoa; Chordata; Actinopteri; Perciformes; Gasterosteidae. The record is from RefSeq and is a predicted model, not a curated record. The transcript is spliced from 2 exons.